RNAcentral lists this long non-coding RNA (1868 nucleotides) under Trifolium pratense (red clover). Its description in RNAcentral is "long non-coding RNA (TPRA_LNC004113)". Lineage: Eukaryota; Viridiplantae; Streptophyta; Magnoliopsida; Fabales; Fabaceae. The record is from RNAcentral.
UAUUUGUGAAGGAGUGAUAUAGCAUUUGAUUAAGAGAGUGGUUUGUCUCUGGUUGGGAUAAAUCUGAUUGUGAUGUAAGAUGGAUAGCUUGCUCGUAUGUUUUGUAACUUCAGGGAUGAUCAGAUAUAUGGCACCAAGGAGGAAUUUAUUGCACAAAUGGCAUGGCCUGUGGAAAGGCCAUUUUACCCGUAGGAGGUGAGACAACAUGAUGUUGGUAGCAGUGGAGCUGUUGGAAAUGGAGACCAGGAGACGGGACAACGAAGUGAAGAAGAGCCAGACACCUGACAAGAGAAUUGACUGAAAAGCUCUCCAAAACUCUGUGAACUUUAUUUUAAAUUGCUUUUGGUCAAAUUUAUGCUUUAUUUUCAAUAUCUUAAUUUAUGUUUCUCUUGUGGUCUAAACAACAUGCUGAUGGUUGAUUGAAAAAUGGUAAAAAAAAAAAAUUUAUUUUUGAAUAUCAUGUGCAUAUGGAUUGAAAAGUUUAGGUUUGUGAAUAAUCAAAUUCAAAUGCAUGAUUAGAAUAAUUUUUUUUUUUUCAAAUUGCAUUGUUUGAGGUUGAAUCUUUGUGAUUAUCUUUGAAUAAUAGGAUGAAUUUGAACUAAGUAGCUUUAUUCAAUUUGAUUUCAUCCAUUCCUUCUUGAGAUGAUUAAUUGAUGAUGAAUCACUUAACCUAGCCGGGUGAGAUUGUGUGAACCUUCCAUUGUUUAUAUAUUUGAGAGCCGACAAUUGUGUUUAACUCUGUUGAUUUUAACUGAAUCUUGCUAUUACUUGAUGUGUUUGAAGUCAUGGAUAUGAUCAAGGCCUUGUUUCUUUUUGAGUGGUAACUACUUAAGCCAAAAUAACCUACCUUGUGAGUUAGUGUGAUCCUUUGCUACCCCCCUUGAGCCAAAAAUUUUGAAAUUUUGUUUGAUUUUGAACCCUUGAACCACAAUAAAGAAAAACAAUGACUUAACCCUUGUCUUAGGAUGAUUGAGCAUUGAAUUUAAGAAGGGUUGAAAACAAGUUGGGGAGAAAGAGGUUAUUUGUUUGUUUGAAAAAAAGAAAGAAGUAGUUGAAAAUGGUGAUUGUGAAAAAGAAAAAGAAUUUUGAANNNNNNNNNNNNNNNNNNNNNNNNNNNNNNNNNNNNNNNNNNNNNNNNNNNNNNNNNNNAAGAAUCCCAAAAGUAAAGAAUGAGGAAAGUGAAAGAGGAUGAAUAGCUUAUGUAAUGUAAUAAAGAUAGUCAAAGUUUAUGCUCUCUCAUCCUUGAGGCUUUUUGAAUCCAAAGAAAAACAAUGAUUUCUUGUAGCCUAGCCCCAUUACAAGCUUAAGAAAGACCUUAGUGAUCCAUGAUUGAUAGCAUGUUUUGUGAUUAAGAUGAGGUGUAUGUUUGAAUUGAUUUGUUGUGAACACAUUGCUUGGAUUGAGAGAAACACUUCACCCUUGAGUUGAAACACUUGUGAGAAUUGUGACUCUAGUUGAUUAUCUUGUUGAUUUGGAAAGUUUGAAAUCUUACUUGAAUUUUGAAACUAUUUCACAUUCAUACCUUGAUUCUUUGAUGAUUAUGAAGGUUUGAUUUUGAACUUGCAAUACAUUGAAUCAUGCAAACUUGAAAUGAUUUAAAACCAAAGUUUUUGAUUGAUUGCAAAGCUUGAAUGAAUCAUGCACCAAUGAUGUUUGAAACAUGUUUUGAGAGUUUAUUUUGGACUUUUGUUUGAGGACAAACAAAGUUCUAAGUUGGGGAGAGUUGAUAAGUGCUCAAAAACAGUGAUUUUACCUAUUUAUUUUAAGCACUUAUUGACUUGUUUUAUAAGUCAUUUUAGGUAAAAAACCCCAAUUAAUUUUAAAUAUUAAUCUCUACUAGCAAAUUAGUAUUUUAGCUAUUUUCCCUC